CCUACGGGAGGCAGCAGUGAGGAAUAUUGGUCAAUGGGCGCAAGCCUGAACCAGCCAUCCCGCGUGCAGGAAGACGGCCCUAUGGGUUGUAAACUGCUUUUCCAGGGGGUGAAUUAAUCCGACGAGUCGGGUUUUGACGGUACCCUGGGAAUAAGCAUCGGCUAACUCCGUGCCAGCAGCCGCGGUAAUACGGAGGAUGCGAGCGUUAUCCGGAUUUAUUGGGUUUAAAGGGUGCGUAGGCGGACAAAUAAGUCAGUGGUGAAAACCUGCAGCUUAACUGUAGACUUGCCGUUGAUACUGUUAGUCUUGAGUAUGGUCAAGGUAGGCGGAAUGUGUAAUGUAGCGGUGAAAUGCUUAGAUAUUACACAGAACACCGAUUGCGAAGGCAGCUUGCUGGGCCAUUACUGACGCUGAUGCACGAAAGCGUGGGGAUCGAACAGGAUUAGAUACCCUGGUAGUCCACGCCGUAAACGAUGAUCACUCGCUGUUGGCGAUACACAGUCAGCGGCUAAGCAAAAGCAUUAAGUGAUCCACCUGGGGAGUACGGCCGCAAGGCUGAAACUCAAAGGAAUUGACGG
RNAcentral lists this ribosomal RNA (578 nucleotides) under uncultured bacterium. RNAcentral describes it as "bacterial SSU rRNA". It matches the Rfam family "Bacterial small subunit ribosomal RNA", at positions 338 to 916 of the family's 1533-position model. The record is from RNAcentral.